This 559-nucleotide ribosomal RNA is filed under the name Fusarium graminearum. RNAcentral's name for it is "eukaryotic LSU rRNA". The stretch from base 192 to 345 matches the Rfam family "5.8S ribosomal RNA". Lineage: Eukaryota; Fungi; Ascomycota; Sordariomycetes; Hypocreales; Nectriaceae. The record is from RNAcentral.
CGAAUCUUCAUUCUCUUCUUUGGUGAACAGCGGAGGGUCAUUACCGAGUUUACAACUCCCAAACCCCUGUGAACAUACCUUAUGUUGCCUCGGCGGAUCAGCCCGCGCCCCGUAAAAAGGGACGGCCCGCCGCAGGAACCCUAAACUCUGUUUUUAGUGGAACUUCUGAGUAUAAAAAACAAAUAAAUCAAAACUUUCAACAACGGAUCUCUUGGUUCUGGCAUCGAUGAAGAACGCAGCAAAAUGCGAUAAGUAAUGUGAAUUGCAGAAUUCAGUGAAUCAUCGAAUCUUUGAACGCACAUUGCGCCCGCCAGUAUUCUGGCGGGCAUGCCUGUUCGAGCGUCAUUUCAACCCUCAAGCCCAGCUUGGUGUUGGGAGCUGCAGUCCUGCUGCACUCCCCAAAUACAUUGGCGGUCACGUCGAGCUUCCAUAGCGUAGUAAUUUACACAUCGUUACUGGUAAUCGUCGCGGCCACGCCGUUAAACCCCAACUUCUGAAUGUUGACCUCGGAUCAGGUAGGAAUACCCGCUGAACUUAAGCAUAUCAAUAAGCGGAGGAA